RNAcentral lists this ribosomal RNA (253 nucleotides) under uncultured bacterium. RNAcentral's name for it is "partial 16S ribosomal RNA". It matches the Rfam family "Bacterial small subunit ribosomal RNA", at positions 524 to 776 of the family's 1533-position model. The record is from RNAcentral.
GACGGAGGGUGCAAGCGUUGUUCGGAAUUACUGGGCGUAAAGCGCGGGCAGGUGGCCCUUUAAGUCCUUUGUGAAAUUCCGGAGCUCAACUCCGGAUGUGCAUAGGAUACUGGAAGGCUAGAGACUGGUAGAGGCGAGCGGAAUUCCUGGUGUAGCGGUGGAAUGCGUAGAUAUCGGGAAGAACAUCGGUGGCGAAGGCGGCCAGCUGGGCCAUUGCUGACGCUGAUGCGCGACAGCGUGGGGAGCAAACAGG